This 574-nucleotide ribosomal RNA is filed under the name uncultured bacterium. RNAcentral describes it as "bacterial SSU rRNA". It matches the Rfam family "Bacterial small subunit ribosomal RNA", at positions 902 to 1474 of the family's 1533-position model. The record is from RNAcentral.
CAAAGGAAUUGACGGGGGCCCGCACAAGCGGUGGAGUAUGUGGUUUAAUUCGAUGCAACGCGCAGAACCUUACCUGGCCUUGACAUCCACGGAACCCUGCAGAGAUGCGGGGGUGCCUUCGGGAACCGUGAGACAGGUGCUGCAUGGCCGUCGUCAGCUCGUGUCGUGAGAUGUUGGGUUAAGUCCCGCAACGAGCGCAACCCUUGUCCUUAGUUGCCAGCACGUAAAGGUGGGAACUAUAAGGAGACUGCCGGUGACAAACCGGAGGAAGGUGGGGAUGACGUCAAGUCAUCAUGGCCCUUACGGCCAGGGCUACACACGUACUACAAUGGUGGGGACAGAGGGUCGCGAGGCCGCGAGGCGGAGCCAAUCCCAGAAACCCCAUCCUAGUCCGGAUCGGAGUCUGCAACUCGACUCCGUGAAGUCGGAAUCGCUAGUAAUCGCGGAUCAGCAUUGCCGCGGUGAAUACGUUCCCGGGCCUUGUACACACCGCCCGUCACACCAUGGGAGUGGGUUGCACCAGAAGCAGGUAGUCUAACCGCAAGGGGGACGCUUGCCACGGUGUGAUUCAUGA